CCUACGGGAGGCAGCAGUAGGGAAUAUUGCUCAAUGGGGGAAACCCUGAAGCAGCAACGCCGCGUGGAGGAUGAAGGUUUUCGGAUUGUAAACUCCUUUUGUUAGAGAAGAUAAUGACGGUAUCUAACGAAUAAGCACCGGCUAACUCCGUGCCAGCAGCCGCGGUAAUACGGAGGGUGCAAGCGUUACUCGGAAUCACUGGGCGUAAAGAGCGCGUAGGCGGGAUAGCAAGUCAGAUGUGAAAUCCUAGGGCUUAACCAUAGAACUGCAUUUGAAACUGUUAUUCUAGAGUAUGGGAGAGGUAGGUGGAAUUCUUGGUGUAGGGGUAAAAUCCGUAGAGAUCAAGAGGAAUACUCAUUGCGAAGGCGACCUGCUAGAACAUAACUGACGCUGAUGCGCGAAAGCGUGGGGAGCAAACAGGAGUAGAUACCCGUGUAGUC
This 440-nucleotide ribosomal RNA is filed under the name uncultured bacterium. RNAcentral's name for it is "partial 16S ribosomal RNA". It matches the Rfam family "Bacterial small subunit ribosomal RNA", at positions 338 to 795 of the family's 1533-position model. The record is from RNAcentral.